Long non-coding RNA from Bos taurus (domestic cattle), 1079 nucleotides. Lineage: Eukaryota; Metazoa; Chordata; Mammalia; Artiodactyla; Bovidae. The record is from Ensembl.
CCCUUGGACUGCAAGGAGAUCCAACCAGUCCGUCCUAAAGGAGAUCAGUCCUGGGUGUUCAUUGGAAGGACUGAUGCUGAAGCUGAAACUCCAAUACUUUGGCCACCUCAUGUGAAGAGUUGACUCAUUGGAAAAGACUCUGAUGCUGGGAGGGAUGGGGCAGGAGGAGAAGGGGACAACAGAGGAUGAGAUGGCUGGAUGGCAUCACCGACUUGAUGGACUGGCUUCUGUUGAGAGCUUCCCUGGUGGCUCAUACACUAAAGCAUCUGCCUACAAUGCGGGAGACCCAGGUUCAAUCCAUGGAUCAGGAAGAUCUCCUGGAGAAGGAAAUGGAAACCCACUCCAGUAUUCUUGCCUGGAAAAUCCUAUAGACGGAGGAACCUGAUCCCAUUUAGUGAAUCCUGCUUGCUCUACCUUCAGGAUAUAUCCAGCUGCUGCCCCUGCCAUCCUGUCCAGGCCAUUGCCACCUCUUGUCUGAAUCAUCACAGAGCCUCUAACACGUCUCCCUUCAUCCUUUUGCCCCUGACACGGUGGAGAAGAGACCAAACAGCUGCCAGAGAUCCUCAGCAUGGCGCCCUGGGGCACCGAGGACGCGUGUGCUGCUGUGAAAGCAGAAGCCAGAAUUCUCAUGAUGACUUCAGGGCCCCCUGUGACUCGGCCCCUACGUCCUUCUCUUCAUGCCCUCGCACACUUCUCACCUCUCAUUCUAUUCCAGCCACAGGGGUCUGGCUUCCGUUCCCUGAACUCUCAUGCCCUGAGGCCUUUGCACUCGCUGUCCCUUCUGCCCACACUGCUCUUCUCUAGGGUAUCUGACAGCUCACUCCCUCACCUCUUUCAGGGCUUUCAAAUGCCACCUUCCUCAUGGAGCCUUCCUGGUCAUUCUAUUCAUAAUUUCUCCCCUAAUGGAAACCCUUCACCCCACUAUGUCCCUGAUUUCAUUUUCUCUUUAGAACUUAUGAUGAUCUGACAUACAUAUUUAUAUUAUAUAUUUUAUAUACUUAUUGUGUUGAUUGUCUUUUUCCUGCACAAGAAUAUGAAGUCUAUGAAGAAAUAGUUUUUUUAAAAGUUCUAUCCAGGGC